GGACUACCCGGGUUUCUAAUCCCGUUUGCUCCCCUGGCUUUCGCGCCUCAGCGUCAGAAGAGGUCCAGCAGCUCGCUUUCGCCACAGGCGUUCCUUCCGAUAUCAACGCAUUUCACCGCUCCACCGGAAGUUCCAGCUGCCCCUACCUCCCUCGAGACCACCAGUAUCCGAGGCUGUUCUCCAGUUAAGCUGGAGGAUUUCACCCCGGACUUGAUGACCCGCCUACGCGCCCUUUAAGCCCAGUGAUUCCGAACAACGUUCGCACGGUUCGUCUUACCGCGGCGGCUGGCAC
This 292-nucleotide ribosomal RNA is filed under the name uncultured Planctomycetota bacterium. Its description in RNAcentral is "uncultured planctomycete partial 16S ribosomal RNA". Lineage: Bacteria; Pseudomonadati; Planctomycetota. The record is from RNAcentral.